GACAGGCGAGGAAUCCGCAAGGAGGAAUCGUGCUGAGUGGCGAACGGGUGAGUAAGRCAUGGGGACGUACCCUCAAGAGGGGGAUAGCAUUCCGAAAGGGAUGGUAAUACCCCGUAAGCUCGAGAGAGGGAAGGUGCAACAGCACCGCUUGAGGAGCGACUCAUGGCCCAUCAGUUAGUUGGUGAGGUAARGGCCCACCAAGGCUAUGACGGGUAGUUGGUCUGAGAGGAUGGUCAGCCACACUGGGACUGAGACACGGCCCAAGACUCCUACGGGAGGCAGCAGUGGGGAAUUUUUCCCAAUGGGCRAARGCCUGAGGGAGCGACGCCGCGUGGAGGAAGGAGUCUUUCGAGAUGUAAACUCCUGUUGUAAGGGAGCAAGGGUAUAUGUAGUGGAAAGGCAUAUACUCRGAUAGUACCUUACGAGGAAGCCCCGGCUAACUACGUGCCAGCAGCCGCGGUAAUACGUAGGGGGCGAGCGUUGUCCGGAGUUACUGGGCGUAAAGGGUGCGUAGGUGGMCGAUAAAGUC
This 529-nucleotide ribosomal RNA is filed under the name uncultured bacterium. RNAcentral describes it as "bacterial SSU rRNA". It matches the Rfam family "Bacterial small subunit ribosomal RNA", at positions 61 to 589 of the family's 1533-position model. The record is from RNAcentral.